GCUCAUCUAGCUCAGUUGGUAGAGCGCAAGGCUCUUAACCUUGUUAUUAUCCUGGGUUUGAGCCCCAGGGUGUGCA
RNAcentral lists this transfer RNA (76 nucleotides) under Ipomoea nil (Japanese morning glory). It matches the Rfam family "tRNA". From Rfam's summary of the family: Transfer RNA (tRNA) molecules are approximately 80 nucleotides in length. The record is from Rfam by way of RNAcentral. Lineage: Eukaryota; Viridiplantae; Streptophyta; Magnoliopsida; Solanales; Convolvulaceae.